GGGGGAAAGCGGGGGAUCGUAAGACCUCGCGCCGAUGGAUGAGCCGAAGCCGGAUUAGCUAGUUGGUAGGGUAACGGCCUACCAAGGCGACGAUCCGUAGCUGGUCUGAGAGGACGACCAGCCACACUGGGACUGAGACACGGCCCAGACUCCUACGGGAGGCAGCAGUGGGGAAUAUUGGACAAUGGGGGAAACCCUGAUCCAGCGACGCCGCGUGUGUGAAGAAGGCCUGCGGGUUGUAAAGCACUUUUAGUGGGGAUGAAAAGCUCAGGGCUAACACCUCUGGGUCUUGACCUAACCCACAGAAAAAGCACCGGCUAACUCUGUGCCAGCAGCCGCGGUAAUACAGAGGGUGCAAGCGUUAAUCGGAAUUACUGGGCGUAAAGCGUACGUAGACGGUUGGAUAAGUCAGAUGUGAAAGCCCCGGGCUCAACCUGGGAAUUGCAUUUGAGACUGUUCAGCUAGGGUGCGGAAGAGGGAAGCGGAAUUUCCGGUGUAGCGGUGAAAUGCGUAGAUAUCGGAAGGAACACCA
RNAcentral lists this ribosomal RNA (532 nucleotides) under uncultured Gammaproteobacteria bacterium. RNAcentral describes it as "bacterial SSU rRNA". It matches the Rfam family "Bacterial small subunit ribosomal RNA", at positions 198 to 711 of the family's 1533-position model. Lineage: Bacteria; Pseudomonadati; Pseudomonadota; Gammaproteobacteria. The record is from RNAcentral.